RNAcentral lists this ribosomal RNA (469 nucleotides) under uncultured bacterium. RNAcentral describes it as "partial 16S ribosomal RNA". It matches the Rfam family "Bacterial small subunit ribosomal RNA", at positions 28 to 507 of the family's 1533-position model. The record is from RNAcentral.
GACGAACGCCGGCGGCGUGCUUAACACAUGCAAGUCGAACGGAAAGGCCCUGCUUGCAGGGUGCUCGAGUGGCGAACGGGUGAGUAACACGUGGGUGAUCUGCCCCUUACUUUGGGAUAAGCCUGGGAAACUGGGUCUAAUACUGGAUAGGACCAUGCUGUAGGUGGUGUGGUGGAAAGAUUAGUUUCGGUAAGGGAUGAGCUCGCGGCCGAUCAGCUUGUUGGUGGGGUAAUGGCCUACCAAGGCGUCGACGGGUAGCCGGCCUGAGAGGGUGGACGGCCACAUUGGGACUGAGACACGGCCCAGACUCCUACGGGAGGCAGCAGUGGGGGAUAGUGCACAAUGGGAGCAAGCCGGAUGCGGCGACGCCGCGUGGGGGAUGACAGCCUUCGAGUUGUAAACUCCUUACAUCUAUGACGAAGCCCUUGUGGUGACGGUAGUGGUAGAAGAAGCACCGGCUAACUACGUG